GGCCCCAUCGUCUAGCGGUCUAGGACUCAGGGUUCUCAGUCCUGCAACACGGGUUCGAAUCCCGUUGGGGCUA
This 73-nucleotide transfer RNA is filed under the name Thermovirga lienii DSM 17291. It matches the Rfam family "tRNA". Rfam says of the family: Transfer RNA (tRNA) molecules are approximately 80 nucleotides in length. Their secondary structure includes four short double-helical elements and three loops (D, anti-codon, and T loops). The record is from Rfam by way of RNAcentral. Lineage: Bacteria; Thermotogati; Synergistota; Synergistia; Synergistales; Thermovirgaceae.